AGCAGCCGCGGUAAUUCCAGCUCCAAUAGCGUAUAUUAAAGUUGUUGUGGUUAAAAAGCUCGUAGUUGAACCUUGGGCCUGGCUGGCCGGUCCGCCUCACCGCGUGUACUGGUCCGGCCGGGCCUUUCCCUCUGUGGAACCCCAUGCCCUUCACUGGGCGUGGCGGGGAAACAGGACUUUUACUGUGAAAAAAUUAGAGUGCUCCAGGCAGGCCUAUGCUCGAAUACAUUAGCAUGGAAUAAUAGAAUAGGACGUGUGGUUCUAUUUUGUUGGUUUCUAGGACCGCCGUAAUGAUUAAUAGGGACAGUCGGGGGCAUCAGUAUUCAAUUGUCAGAGGUGAAAUUCUUGGAUCUACUGAAGACUAACUACUGCGAAAGCAUUUGCCAAGGAUGUUUUCAUUAAUCAGGAACGAAAGUUAGGGGAUCGAAGACGAUCAGAUACCGUCGUAGUCUUAACCAUAAACUAUGCCGACUAGGGAUCGGACGGUGUUAUUUUUCGACCCG
This 503-nucleotide ribosomal RNA is filed under the name uncultured glomeraceous AM fungus. RNAcentral describes it as "SSU rRNA". It matches the Rfam family "Eukaryotic small subunit ribosomal RNA", at positions 569 to 1078 of the family's 1831-position model. The record is from RNAcentral. Lineage: Eukaryota; Fungi; Glomeromycota; Glomeromycetes; Glomerales; Glomeraceae.